UAGGGAAUCUUCCACAAUGGACGCAAGUCUGAUGGAGCAACGCCGCGUGAGUGAAGAAGGUUUUCGGACCGUAAAGCUCUGUUGUUGGUGAAGAAGGAUAGAGGUAGUAACUGGCCUUUAUUUGACGGUAAUCAACCAGAAAGUCACGGCUAACUACGUGCCAGCAGCCGCGGUAAUACGUAGGUGGCAAGCGUUGUCCGGAUUUAUUGGGCGUAAAGCGAGCGCAGGCGGAAGAAUAAGUCUGAUGUGAAAGCCCUCGGCUUAACCGAGGAAUUGCAUCGGAAACUGUUUUCUUGAGUGCAGAAGAGGAGAGUAGAAUUCCAUGUGUAGCGGUGGAAUGCGUAGAUAUAUGGAAGAAUACCAGCGGCGAAGGCGGCUCUCUGGUCUGCAACUGACGCUGAGGCUCGAAAGCAUGGGUAGCGAACAGGAUUAGAUACCCUGGUAGUCCAUGCCGUAAACGAUGAGUGCUAAGUGUUGGGAGGCUUCCGCCUCUCAGUGCUGCAGCUAACGCAUUAAGCACUCCGCCUGGGGGAGUACGACCGCAAGGUUGAAAC
Molecule: ribosomal RNA, 554 nt
Filed under: uncultured bacterium
Lineage: Bacteria
Description: partial 16S ribosomal RNA
Rfam family: Bacterial small subunit ribosomal RNA
Source: RNAcentral